This is a long non-coding RNA of Pseudopipra pipra, 660 nucleotides long. RefSeq lists it as uncharacterized. The transcript is spliced from 3 exons. Lineage: Eukaryota; Metazoa; Chordata; Aves; Passeriformes; Pipridae. The record is from RefSeq and is a predicted model, not a curated record.
AAGGGCUUUCAGAGCCUGCACAAAUCUUCUCUAGCUGAACAGAGGAAGAAAUGAGGAACAGAGGCCUUCAAUUUUUCAUCUUGACAAUGUUUCUUUAGAGAAAUGAUACAGUAUAAACACACCUUCUGAAGGAAUUAAGAGAGACAAAUAUUGAGAAGUACCACAGAAUUCCUACAUUCUUGCAUGGACAGAGCACAUCCUGCAAAUAGAAGGGGAGGACAGUUUCCUACCCUUGGAUUUUCCAAGUAUCCCUGCUCUGAGAAGCAAAGGAGCCAACGGCAGGAGCAUUGGAGUUGGUAUGCCUGUCAUGCGCCUGCGGACGCUUCCAGGACUGCCUGCAUGCUUUCAAGAAGAAGGUCGUUGUUCUUUUAGGAUCAUCAAACAAUCAUGAGUGAAUCAUGAAUCAAGAUGGAAAACAUGAGGGGAAUGUUCUCCUGAAAGAUAAGAAAACACAUAACUUCUGCAGUGCAAGUCAAAUGACUCAUCCCGAGAAGGAGCAUCAUUUUUCUAAUGCUGGAAUGGCAGCCUGCAGAUUUCCAUGUGGCAGUCCUGGUUCUCACUGAACGUUGAUUAACUCAGGACAGCAUGAAAUGCUUUUGUUUUAUGUCUAAGAUCAGGCCAAAUAUUUCUUGUCAUCUACUUAAAUAAAAAGAUCUCUUU